Molecule: ribosomal RNA, 250 nt
Filed under: uncultured bacterium
Lineage: Bacteria
Description: partial 16S ribosomal RNA
Rfam family: Bacterial small subunit ribosomal RNA
Source: RNAcentral
GACGAGGGGUCCUAGCGUUGUUCGGAAUUAUUGGGCGUAAAGCGCAUGUAGGUGGCUUUGUAAGUCGGAAGUGAAAGCCCGGGGCUCAACCCCGGAAGUGCUUUCGAAACUGCAAAACUUGAGUACGGGAGAGGGCAGUGGAAUUCCUGGUGUAGUGGUGAAAUACGUAGAUAUCAGGAGGAACAUCGGUGGCGAAGGCGGCUGCCUGGCCCAGUACUGACACUCAGAUGCGAAAGCGUGGGGAUCAAAC